This 71-nucleotide transfer RNA is filed under the name Mecostethus alliaceus. Its description in RNAcentral is "Parapleurus alliaceus tRNA-Ser". It matches the Rfam family "tRNA". Rfam says of the family: Transfer RNA (tRNA) molecules are approximately 80 nucleotides in length. Their secondary structure includes four short double-helical elements and three loops (D, anti-codon, and T loops). Further hydrogen bonds mediate the characteristic L-shaped molecular structure. tRNAs have two regions of fundamental functional importance: the anti-codon, which is responsible for specific mRNA codon recognition, and the 3' end, to which the tRNAs corresponding amino acid is attached (by aminoacyl-tRNA synthetases). tRNAs cope with the degeneracy of the genetic code in two manners: having more than one tRNA (with a specific anti-codon) for a particular amino acid; and 'wobble' base-pairing, i.e. permitting non-standard base-pairing at the 3rd anti-codon position. Lineage: Eukaryota; Metazoa; Arthropoda; Insecta; Orthoptera; Acrididae. RNAcentral also lists the same sequence under 1 other name. The record is from RNAcentral.
AGUUAAUUAGCUUAAGAUAAAGCAAAUGUUUUGAAAACAUAAGAACAGAAGUUCAAUUCUUCUAUUAACUU